This 734-nucleotide ribosomal RNA is filed under the name Microsporidium sp. BGRE. RNAcentral describes it as "SSU rRNA". It matches the Rfam family "Microsporidia small subunit ribosomal RNA", at positions 33 to 788 of the family's 1311-position model. Lineage: Eukaryota; Fungi; Microsporidia. The record is from RNAcentral.
GUCUCUAAGAUUUAGCCAUGCAUGCUUAAUAUAUAAUGGCGAACGGCUCAGUAAUGUUGCGAUGAUUUGCUCUUGAUGGCAUAGAUAACCACGGUAAGCUGUGGCUAAUAGGCAAGAAUAAGACGCAACCCUAUCAGUUAGUUGGUAGUGUAAAGGACUACCAAGACGAUGACGGGUGACGGGAAAUGAGGGUUUGAUUCCGGAGAGGGAGCCUGAGAGAUGGCUCCCACGUCCAAGGACGGCAGCAGGCGCGAAAAUUGCCCACUCUUGGUGAGGAGGCAGUUAUGAGACGUAAUUUAAGCAGGCACAGUAAACAAGUGCUUAGUUCAUUGGAGGGCAAGUUUGGUGCCAGCAGCCGCGGUAAUACCGACUCCAAGAGUGUCUAUGGUGGAUGCUGCAGUUAAAAAGUCCGUAGUUUUAUGUAUGCAAUUAAAAAGCACUGGUAAAGGGUGUUUAGUUUGCUAAAGAUGGCGGAACGGGUAGAGUGCAUAGUAUAGAUAGGCGAGAGAUGAAAUACCAAGACCCUAUCUGGACUGACGGAGGCGAAAGCGAUGCACUUAAACGAGUCUGGGGAUCAAGGACGAAGGCUGGAGGAUCGAAAGUGAUUAGAUACCGCUGUAGUUCCAGCAGUAAACGAUGCCGACAAGCAGGACACGGGAGUGUUUGCUGGGAGAAAUCAUAGUUUUCGGGCUCUGGGGAUAGUACGCUCGCAAGGGUGAAACUUAAAUGAAAUU